UACGGGGGGGGCAAGCGUUGUUCGGAAUUACUGGGCGUAAAGGGCGCGUAGGCGGCCUGCUAAGUCGGAUGUGAAAUCCCUCGGCUCAACCGAGGAACUGCAUCCGAUACUGGCGGGCUUGAAUCCGGGAGAGGGAUGUGGAAUUCCAGGUGUAGCGGUGAAAUGCGUAGAUAUCAGGAGGAACACCGGUGGCGAAGGCGGGUCUCUGGGCCGUAACUGACGCUGAGGAGCGAAAGCAUGGGGAGCGAACAGG
Molecule: ribosomal RNA, 253 nt
Filed under: uncultured bacterium
Lineage: Bacteria
Description: partial 16S ribosomal RNA
Rfam family: Bacterial small subunit ribosomal RNA
Source: RNAcentral